CUAGGCUAGGUUGGUGUAAUGUCACUAACAACGAAAAUAGGCUAAAUAAGGCUCAAAGGGGUUAAACCUACAAAACAAAUGCAUGGGAUGAAGGCUUUUUGGCUCUAGUGGUAACUACUAAACAACUUCAUCUUGUUAUAUGUUAUGCACUCAAUUUUAAGCUUUGAAUGAAACGGGCAUGAGUUCUAGUAUAUGGAACUAAAGUGAUAAAACGCAUUCUAAGUAGCAACCAAGCAAAGAAUGAUGAGAUCAUGCAACGACUUUAGAAAACAACAAAUCAUAGAUUAUUAACUCUCCAAAUAAACGUUUAGGCUCAAGUCUCUCAGGGUUGUAGCGUUAGUUUGAGUUCCUUCCUUCAAGUAUGUUACAAAAACUGAUUUUUUUUUUUCUUUUGUGAUUACAUGUGAAUUUGUAAACUAUAACUAUAACCAAGCAUAAACCAAAGAGUAUAUCAAACUUCCAUCCAUGUUUGUAACUUUCUUUAACAGUCAUGCAAUUAAAAACCAAAUCCUCAUCAUUGUGUUGGAGGGUACCCUAAGACACAAACACAUAAACACACAAAAACAAUUGUAAAACGACUCUUUUUUGGAUUUUUUUUAAAAACUUUUUCGAUUUUUUUUUUGAAUUUUCGUAUUUCCUUUUAAAGCCACAUAAAGACACAUCAAACCAUACUAAAAACACUCAAAAACAAUGAAAAACAACCUUUGAAAUGUUAGGUGGUAAAAUCCUACAAAUUUUGCAACAAAAACACUUUGUUUACCCCCCCCCCCACACUUAAACCAAACAUUGUCCUCAAUGUUUCAAACAUAGACUCACACAAAAACAAGCAAAUAAC
Molecule: long non-coding RNA, 835 nt
Filed under: Malus domestica (apple)
Lineage: Eukaryota; Viridiplantae; Streptophyta; Magnoliopsida; Rosales; Rosaceae
Description: long non-coding RNA (MDOM_LNC011409)
Source: RNAcentral